UUAAGCGACUAAGCGUACACGGUGGAUGCCCUGGCAGUCAGAGGCGAUGAAGGACGUGCUAAUCUGCGAUAAGCGUCGGUAAGGUGAUAUGAACCGUUAUAACCGGCGAUUUCCGAAUGGGGAAACCCAGUGUGUUUCGACACACUAUCAUUAACUGAAUCCAUAGGUUAAUGAGGCGAACCGGGGGAACUGAAACAUCUAAGUACCCCGAGGAAAAGAAAUCAACCGAGAUUCCCCCAGUAGCGGCGAGCGAACGGGGAGCAGCCCAGAGCCUGAAUCAGUGUGUGUGUUAGUGGAAGCGUCUGGAAAGGCGCGCGAUACAGGGUGACAGCCCCGUACACAAAAAUGCACAUGCUGUGAGCUCGAUGAGUAGGGCGGGACACGUGGUAUCCUGUCUGAAUAUGGGGGGACCAUCCUCCAAGGCUAAAUACUCCUGACUGACCGAUAGUGAACCAGUACCGUGAGGGAAAGGCGAAAAGAACCCCGGCGAGGGGAGUGAAAAAGAACCUGAAACCGUGUACGUACAAGCAGUGGGAGCACGCUUAGGCGUGUGACUGCGUACCUUUUGUAUAAUGGGUCAGCGACUUAUAUUCUGUAGCAAGGUUAACCGAAUAGGGGAGCCGAAGGGAAACCGAGUCUUAACUGGGCGUUAAGUUGCAGGGUAUAGACCCGAAACCCGGUGAUCUAGCCAUGGGCAGGUUGAAGGUUGGGUAACACUAACUGGAGGACCGAACCGACUAAUGUUGAAAAAUUAGCGGAUGACUUGUGGCUGGGGGUGAAAGGCCAAUCAAACCGGGAGAUAGCUGGUUCUCCCCGAAAGCUAUUUAGGUAGCGCCUCGUGAAUUCAUCUCCGGGGGUAGAGCACUGUUUCGGCAAGGGGGUCAUCCCGACUUACCAACCCGAUGCAAACUGCGAAUACCGGAGAAUGUUAUCACGGGAGACACACGGCGGGUGCUAACGUCCGUCGUGAAGAGGGAAACAACCCAGACCGCCAGCUAAGGUCCCAAAGUCAUGGUUAAGUGGGAAACGAUGUGGGAAGGCCCAGACAGCCAGGAUGUUGGCUUAGAAGCAGCCAUCAUUUAAAGAAAGCGUAAUAGCUCACUGGUCGAGUCGGCCUGCGCGGAAGAUGUAACGGGGCUAAACCAUGCACCGAAGCUGCGGCAGCGACGCUGAUGCGUUGUUGGGUAGGGGAGCGUUCUGUAAGCCUGUGAAGGUGUGCUGUGAGGCAUGCUGGAGGUAUCAGAAGUGCGAAUGCUGACAUAAGUAACGAUAAAGCGGGUGAAAAGCCCGCUCGCCGGAAGACCAAGGGUUCCUGUCCAACGUUAAUCGGGGCAGGGUGAGUCGACCCCUAAGGCGAGGCCGAAAGGCGUAGUCGAUGGGAAACAGGUUAAUAUUCCUGUACUUGGUGUUACUGCGAAGGGGGGACGGAGAAGGCUAUGUUGGCCGGGCGACGGUUGUCCCGGUUUAAGCGUGUAGGCUGGUUUUCCAGGCAAAUCCGGAAAAUCAAGGCUGAGGCGUGAUGACGAGGCACUACGGUGCUGAAGCAACAAAUGCCCUGCUUCCAGGAAAAGCCUCUAAGCAUCAGGUAACAUCAAAUCGUACCCCAAACCGACACAGGUGGUCAGGUAGAGAAUACCAAGGCGCUUGAGAGAACUCGGGUGAAGGAACUAGGCAAAAUGGUGCCGUAACUUCGGGAGAAGGCACGCUGAUAUGUAGGUGAAGUCCCUCGCGGAUGGAGCUGAAAUCAGUCGAAGAUACCAGCUGGCUGCAACUGUUUAUUAAAAACACAGCACUGUGCAAACACGAAAGUGGACGUAUACGGUGUGACGCCUGCCCGGUGCCGGAAGGUUAAUUGAUGGGGUCAGCGCAAGCGAAGCUCUUGAUCGAAGCCCCGGUAAACGGCGGCCGUAACUAUAACGGUCCUAAGGUAGCGAAAUUCCUUGUCGGGUAAGUUCCGACCUGCACGAAUGGCGUAAUGAUGGCCAGGCUGUCUCCACCCGAGACUCAGUGAAAUUGAACUCGCUGUGAAGAUGCAGUGUACCCGCGGCAAGACGGAAAGACCCCGUGAACCUUUACUAUAGCUUGACACUGAACAUUGAGCCUUGAUGUGUAGGAUAGGUGGGAGGCUUUGAAGUGUGGACGCCAGUCUGCAUGGAGCCGACCUUGAAAUACCACCCUUUAAUGUUUGAUGUUCUAACGUUGACCCGUAAUCCGGGUUGCGGACAGUGUCUGGUGGGUAGUUUGACUGGGGCGGUCUCCUCCUAAAGAGUAACGGAGGAGCACGAAGGUUGGCUAAUCCUGGUCGGACAUCAGGAGGUUAGUGCAAUGGCAUAAGCCAGCUUGACUGCGAGCGUGACGGCGCGAGCAGGUGCGAAAGCAGGUCAUAGUGAUCCGGUGGUUCUGAAUGGAAGGGCCAUCGCUCAACGGAUAAAAGGUACUCCGGGGAUAACAGGCUGAUACCGCCCAAGAGUUCAUAUCGACGGCGGUGUUUGGCACCUCGAUGUCGGCUCAUCACAUCCUGGGGCUGAAGUAGGUCCCAAGGGUAUGGCUGUUCGCCAUUUAAAGUGGUACGCGAGCUGGGUUUAGAACGUCGUGAGACAGUUCGGUCCCUAUCUGCCGUGGGCGCUGGAGAACUGAGGGGGGCUGCUCCUAGUACGAGAGGACCGGAGUGGACGCAUCACUGGUGUUCGGGUUGUCAUGCCAAUGGCACUGCCCGGUAGCUAAAUGCGGAAGAGAUAAGUGCUGAAAGCAUCUAAGCACGAAACUUGCCCCGAGAUGAGUUCUCCCUGACUCCUUGAGAGUCCUGAAGGAACGUUGAAGACGACGACGUUGAUAGGCCGGGUGUGUAAGCGCAGCGAUGCGUUGAGCUAACCGGUACUAAUGAACCGUGAGGCUUAACCU
RNAcentral lists this ribosomal RNA (2901 nucleotides) under Escherichia coli. Its description in RNAcentral is "23S ribosomal RNA". It matches the Rfam family "Bacterial large subunit ribosomal RNA". The record is from RNAcentral. Lineage: Bacteria; Pseudomonadati; Pseudomonadota; Gammaproteobacteria; Enterobacterales; Enterobacteriaceae.